GACGUAGGGCGCGAGCGUUUGUCCGGAUUUAUUGGGCGUAAAGAGCUUGUAGGCGGUUUUGUCGCGUCUGCUGUGAAAAUCCGGGGCUCAACCCCGGACUUGCAGUGGGUACGGGCAGACUAGAGUGUGGUAGGGGAGACUGGAAUUCCUGGUGUAGCGGUGGAAUGCGCAGAUAUCAGGAGGAACACCGAUGGCGAAGGCAGGUCACUGGGC
RNAcentral lists this ribosomal RNA (213 nucleotides) under uncultured bacterium. Its description in RNAcentral is "partial 16S ribosomal RNA". It matches the Rfam family "Bacterial small subunit ribosomal RNA", at positions 524 to 734 of the family's 1533-position model. The record is from RNAcentral.